CAACCUGCCGUCUACUCUUGGAUAGCCUUCUGAAAGGAAGAUUAAUACAAGAUGGCAUCAUGAGUCCACAUGUUCACAUGAUUAAAGGUAUUCCGGUAGACGAUGGGGAUGCGUUCCAUUAGAUAGUAGGCGGGGUAACGGCCCACCUAGUCUUCGAUGGAUAGGGGUUCUGAGAGGAAGGUCCCCCACAUUGGAACUGAGAUACGGUCCAAACUCCUACGGGAGGCAGCAGUGAGGAAUAUUGGUCAAUGGGCGAGAGCCUGAACCAGCCAAGUAGCGUGAAGGAUGACUGCCCUAUGGGUUGUAAACUUCUUUUAUAAAGGAAUAAAGUCGGGUAUGGAUACCCGUUUGCAUGUACUUUAUGAAUAAGGAUCGGCUAACUCCGUGCCAGCAGCCGCGGUAAUACGGAGGAUCCGAGCGUUAUCCGGAUUUAUUGGGUUUAAAGGGAGCGUAGAUGGAUGUUUAAGUCAGUUGUGAAAGUUUGCGGCUCAACCGUAAAAUUGCAGUUGAUACUGGAUAUCUUGAGUGCAGUUGAGGCAGGCGGAAUUCGUGGUGUAGCGGUGAAAUGCUUAGAUAUCACGAAGAACUCCGAUUG
This 595-nucleotide ribosomal RNA is filed under the name uncultured Bacteroidota bacterium. Its description in RNAcentral is "bacterial SSU rRNA". It matches the Rfam family "Bacterial small subunit ribosomal RNA", at positions 122 to 715 of the family's 1533-position model. Lineage: Bacteria; Pseudomonadati; Bacteroidota. The record is from RNAcentral.